Long non-coding RNA from Nannospalax galili (Upper Galilee mountains blind mole rat), 1041 nucleotides. RefSeq lists it as uncharacterized. NCBI's taxonomy places the organism in Eukaryota, Metazoa, Chordata, Mammalia, Rodentia, Spalacidae. The transcript has 3 exons. The record is from RefSeq and is a predicted model, not a curated record.
AGGAAGUAAACAACAAACAACACACCCUGGGUCUGAGUCUUCUCUGAGGAACUGUGCUUCUCUCCUCCAACUGGCCAUGGAUUCAAAGCAGUGCAAAGACUUCCUUCCUGAACGCAUUCUAUGCAUCCACCGAUUGCCUGCAGCUCUUCAUCUUGAGGUGGGACUCCACGACACUUCCCUCAUCCACUGUGGCAUAGCAACUAGUUUUGUCAUCACGCAGAUCUCCUUAGGCCACCGCACUACUGAGAUUGGAGAUUGUUCCUGCAGCAGCUUCCCAGUCUGGUCUCGAAGACAAGAGUACCUUUCACCCCUCAUCAAAGAAGCUUCUUCUUGCAACAGAUGGAGACUAUUACAGAGUUCCAGAACUGGUCAAAUGUAGAGAGUAAGUGUCUGUGAGAUGCUUAACUCUACAUGACACAUCGUCAGUGCAGUCUCUACACAUAUGAUGAAGGCAUCUCUCACCUCUCACCAGAGAAGUUUCCUUAUGCAGCAGAUGGUGAUUAACACAGAAACCCACAAUUGGUCAGUGUGCGGAGAAGACGAGGCUGCAGAGUGCUUACCCUGAAUAGGACACCGAUUUCAAAUCUCUGCCUCCUGAGGCUCAGGGGUCAGGAAGAAGAAGAUAAAAAGAUCCAUAGGUGGUGGAUGACCACAGGAAACAGAGUCUUCCAGACAGCUGGUCAGUUGCUCAUAUGAACUCUCAGCAAUGGUGACAGCUUGCACAGGCCCUGUGCAAGCUCAAACCAGACAAAAUCCCAGCAGAGACAUGGGGAAGGAGGGAGGUGAAAAAUCCCAUCCCAACCUAAGGAACUUUUGGCAGUUGAUAGCCUCAGAGAUGGGGAAAGACCGUGUCUAACAGGCAUGAGAGUCUUGGUGGGCCCGGAGGAUUGACCCACACUGAAGGACUUUAGGGGACACAAAUCAGACUCUAUAGGCCAUAUUGCAUAUAUGAGAGUGCCUUCAAUUGGGUGGGGGGGAUAGUUGAGGAAACGCAGAUAUGGGAGGGGUGUCAAUACUGUCAAAGCAUAUUGUAUGAAAAUC